RNAcentral lists this ribosomal RNA (330 nucleotides) under uncultured bacterium. RNAcentral describes it as "bacterial SSU rRNA". It matches the Rfam family "Bacterial small subunit ribosomal RNA", at positions 568 to 898 of the family's 1533-position model. The record is from RNAcentral.
UCCGUAGGCGGUGUGGCAAGUCGGAAGUGAAAUCCCUGGGCUUAACUCAGAGGCUGCUUCCGAAACUGCCGUGCUAGAGUGCGAGAGAGGCAAGUGGAAUUGCGGGUGUAGCGGUGAAAUGCGUAGAUAUCCGCAGGAACAUCCGAGGCGAAAGCGGCUUGCUGGAUCGCAACUGACGCUGAGGGACGAAAGCUAGGGGAGCAAACAGGAUUAGAUACCCUGGUAGUCCUAGCCCUAAACCAUCAGGACUUGGGGUUUGCCCUGUACGGGGCAAGUCCCGUAGCUAACGCGUCAAGUCCUGCGCCUGGGGAGUACGGUCGCAAGGCUGAA